This is an RNA transcript of Perca flavescens (yellow perch), 2975 nucleotides long. It is a transcript of the gene named protein kinase, AMP-activated, gamma 3b non-catalytic subunit, with no coding region annotated. The record is from RefSeq and is a predicted model, not a curated record. NCBI's taxonomy places the organism in Eukaryota, Metazoa, Chordata, Actinopteri, Perciformes, Percidae. The transcript is spliced from 13 exons.
AAUCGGGCCAAGGGUUGUAGUCCAGGGCCUCGCCAGUCGUUCUGGUUCCACAGAGGCAGACUUCCUGCUCCUCUUGCCCAACCAUGGAGCCUCUCGCAGAGGCCCCGUUAUUUAAGUUGGACCAGGAAGAGGAUGUUCUCUCAAUGAAGAGCAAAGGUGGCUGUACAUAUGCAGCAGAUGCUUUUGCGCCCUCUGCAGACACAGACCCUGAGACAUUUAUAUACAUGAACUUCAUGAAGAGUCACUGCUGCUACGAUGCCAUCCCCACCAGCUCCAAACUGGUCAUUUUUGACACAACAUUACAGGUGAAGAAGGCUUUCUUCGCUCUCGUGGCUAACGGUGUGAGGGCAGCACCACUGUGGGACAGCAAGCAGAAGUGUUUUGUGGGUAUGCUGACCAUCACUGACUUCAUCAACAUUCUCCAUCGUUAUUACAAGUCUCCUCUGGUUCAGAUCUAUGAGCUGGAAGAGCAGAAGAUAGAGACAUGGAGAGAGAUCUAUCUGCAGUACUCUGUCAACAGACUGAUCAGCAUCACUCCUGACUGCAGUCUGUUUGAUGCCAUCUACUCCUUGUUGAAGAAUAAGAUUCACCGGCUGCCGAUCAUCGACCCAACAUCAGGAAAUGUCCUCCAUAUCCUCACACACAAACGCAUCCUCAAGUUCCUCCACAUCUUUGGAUCUACGAUUCCUAAACCCAGAUUUCUUCAGAAGCGGAUCAAUGAAGUGGCGAUCGGUACCUUCAGACAGAUUGCGACAGUCCAGGAAACGGCCUCUGUCUAUGACGCUCUGUCCAUUUUUGUAGAGAGAAGAGUGUCUGCGCUGCCUGUAGUCAAUGAGCAAGGUAAAGUCGUGGCGCUGUACUCCAGGUUUGAUGUCAUUAAUCUCGCAGCCCAAAAAAACUACAACAACCUGAACAUGACAAUGCAGGAGGCCAUUUCCUCCAGGGCCUGCUUUAUGGAGGGAGUCCUCAAGUGUUACCCUUACGAAACACUUGAGACCAUCAUCGACCGCAUCGCCAAGGCUGAGGUGCAUCGUUUGGUGUUGGUUGACAGUGAUGACGCGGUGAGAGGGAUUGUCUCUCUAUCUGACCUUCUCCAAGCCCUGGUUCUCACUCCUGCAGGUAUUGAUGCACUGUACUCCUAAUGCCAAUCCUUCAAUUCAUCCCUUCUUUUCCUCAAUCUUCGGUUAUCUGUCUAUCUACCUUCAAAUCCUCAAAGCUUCCUGCUCCUUCUGUUGAUCUGUGCUCCUUUUCCUGUAAAAAAAACUCUUCUUCAUCUUCAACUUUUCGUCCUCCUAAAGACACUAAGGGUCUUUCUUCUCUUCCUGUGAAAUUUCCUGAUGUCAGAGAUCCAACUCUGUCAAUUUCCUCCUUCCCUGAAAUCUCCUGAUCCUUUCAAGCAUACUUACCACUCUCCUUCUGCUCCUUCAAAAUCAACCAACCACCCGAUCUGAAACUCUCAUUGGGGACAAACAUCUUUACAUUUCUUCUUCUAAAACUCUCAUUUGAAGCAUUCAACUAAAUGUUUCCAGAGCGUGCUCUGAUCGAUCCUGCACCUGGAAAAUAAACAAAAGCCCCCUCAAAACCCCCUGCCCAGCCACAAUCAACUUUGCUUUCACGAUCAAAUUCUUAAUCUUCCAAUCCAACUUUAAAACCAGUUCAGUUACCGCCACCAAAAUCCUGCAAUCCUACCUACCAGCCAACCAACCAAGUUUCCUUAUCGUCUACGUUCUACAAAGUCUGACACCCCCCCAACGUCUUCACGCUGCAGUCCCUCCUCUGAAACCACCACGCCAACAGCGCCUCUUAGCCAACACAUCCCAGAUAUUUACAAUAAAUCCAGCUGUCAAGACUGAAGAAAACUCUGAAAGACUCUGAGUUGGCAAAAUAAAUUUGCAGAGCAGGGCUGUGGCUGAGAAGUCACUGGUUUCAGUCCCAGUCUGGAGGACAAAUAUGGAAAGAGAAAAUGAAAAUAACUCUUCUCUAUGAGCACCAAUAAUGUGCCCUGGGAAGUGUGUGCUGGGAAGUUACCAGUGUUGAACUUUAUCACGGGUGUGAAUGGAAAGCAGCGUUGAACUGAUGAUGCACACAUCAAGAGACUUUUAAACUUGACUUAUUAGUCAUCAAAUUUGAGUUUAUUUAGCAAGUUCUGUUAACUUGGAAAUUGAGUUGUUGAUACAACAUGUACAAAUUUUUUUUUUAUCUUUAGUGGUUUUGACUUUCUAGUCUUGGAAUGAUUUCAAAUUAGUCAUUCAUAUAUUGGAAAUAUUGGAUCUUUGGAAUUAGUUUUUGUUUGUUUAGCACAAGGAAAGUAUGCAAAACAAGAAAGGGAAAACGUAUACAAUGGUGAUGGUAGAAAUAUGCUACAACGAACAUCAAACACAAUCAAUAAAAGAAUAGACCAUUAAACUGAUAAUCAAGAGACAUCGUCAUCAGAAGAAGAGCACAAACGAGCAAAGCAAGAAACAUUUCAAGGCAAGGAGCGAGAUAUACAGUAGAUGUAUACGAUCUUUUAGCCUUUCUAUUCAUUUCUACCAUAUAUCUCAGGAUGGGAAUCGCUUUACAGAUUUUUGUUAUUGGAUCUUGGAAUUGUAAUCACAUUUUUGUAAAUGCACUUAUGUUUUAAUCACUGUGAAAAAAAGAAUAAAUGUUUUGCUUUAAAGUGUACUGGUAACUGGUAACAACCAGGUAACAAGGGUUAAAGCUCAAUAAUAAGGUAAUAAGGGGGUUAAUACUAAAUGAACAGUGUAAUACCAUUGCAAUUACAACUAUAAUGUAUAGGCGGACUGGCAAUGCCAUAAGGGCCGAUGCACUCUUGGGCCGAUUUGGGCUGCUGGGAAAAAAAAUAAAAAUUGGCAACACUGGUGUUUCACACUAGUUUGACUAAAAUAUGCAAGACUGUACGGCUGCAGCCUGGAGCCUCCUGUCUGGUGCCGUCGGGCUUCUACUUUAUAAAAUAAAAGCUUGCGUCUACUAUG